GUAAUUCUAGAGCUAAUACAUGCCUACAGAGUUCCAACCGCCUCAUCAGCGGGAGGAACGCUUUUAUUAGAUCAAAACCAUUCGGCGAGCCGAUUCCGGUCGGUCUCGCCGCAAGCACACGAUUCUCGAAUCGUUCAAGUGGUGACUCUGAAUAACUUUGAGCUGAUCGCACGGUCAACAGUACUGGCGAUGCAUCUUUCAAAUGUCUGCCUUAUCAACUGUCGAUGGUAGGUUAUGCGCCUACCAUGGUGGUAACGGGUGACGGGGGAUCAGGGUUCGAUUCCGGAGAGGGAGCCUGAGAAACGGCUACCACAUCCAAGGAAGGCAGCAGGCACGCAAAUUACCCACUCCCAGCUCAGGGGAGGUAGUGACGAACUAUAACGAUACGGGACUCAUCCGAGGCCUCGUAAUCGGAAUGAGUACACUUUAAAACGUUUAACGAGGAUCCAUUGGAGGGCAAGUCUGGUGCCAGCAGCUGCGGUAAUUCCAGCUCCAAUAGCGUAUAUUAAAGUUGUUGCGGUUAAAAAGCUCGUAGUUGGAUGUGUGUCUCGCGGCGUCGGUUCACCGCUCGACGGCGGUGUCAACUGACGCGUCAGCGAAAUGUCCUGUCGGUGGCGGUUCGGUCGGUGCCACCGCAGCUCGGUUUUCGGCCUCACGCCAGGCUGGCCGUCGGUUCCUUUCCUCGCAGGGAAGGAUUCCUGUCGCGGUGUCGGCGUGUCUCCUCGGAGCGCACCGUGCAUCGAGGCGGACCGGCACGUUUACUUUGAACAAAUUAGAGUGCUUAGAGCAGGCAAGCAAUGUGUGACGGGGUGUGCAACCUCGGCCGCCUGAAUACUGUGUGCAUAGAAUAACUGAAUAGGACGUCGGUUCCAGAGGUUAAGUGGUUUUCGGAACCCGACGUAAUGAUUAACAGGGACGGGCGGGGGCAUUCGUAUUGCGACGUUAGAGGUGAAAUUCUUAGAUCGUCGCAAGACGAACAGAAGCGAAAGCGUUUGCCAAGUACGUCCCCGUUGAUCAAGAACGAAAGUUAGAGGUUCGAAGGCGAUCAGAUACCGCCCUAGUUCUAACCAUAAACGAUGCCAGCCAGCGAUCCGCCAACGUUCCUCCGAUGACUUGGCGGGCAGCUUCCGGGAAACCAAAGCUUUUGGGUUCCGGGGGAAGUAUGGUUGCAAAGCUGAAACUUAAAGGAAUUGACGGAAGGGCACCACCAGGAGUGGAGCCUGCGGCUUAAUUUGACUCAACACGGGAAACCUCACCAGGCCCGGACACCGGAGGGAUUGACAGAUUGAGAGCUCUUUCUUGAUUCGGUGGGUGGUGGUGCAUGGCCGUUCUUAGUUGGUGGAGCGAUUUGUCUGGUUAAUUCCGAUAACGAACGAGACUCUUUCCUGCUAAAUAGCCGUCGGCGUCUCGGACAGCUACCUGCGGUUCAUUUUCUUCUUAGAGGGACAGACGGCGUCUAGCCGUACGAGAUUGAGCAAUAACAGGUCUGUGAUGCCCUUAGAUGUUCUGGGCCGCACGCGCGCUACACUGAAGGAAUCAGCGUGCUUUUUCCCGGGCCGAGAGGUCCGGGUAACCCGUUGAACCUCCUUCGUGAUAGGGAUCGGGGCUUGCAAUUGUUCCCCGUGAACGAGGAAUUCCCAGUAAGCGCGAGUCAUAAGCUCGUGUUGAUUACGUCCCUGCCCUUUGUACACACCGCCCGUCGCUACUACUGAUUGAAUGAUUUAGUGAGGUUUUCGGACCGGUGCGCGGAAGAGCGCCUCGUGCGCUCCUCCGACGUUCAUCGGAAAGAUGACCGAACUUGAUUAUUUAGAGGAAGUAAAAGUCGUAACAAGGUUUCCGUAGGUGAA
Molecule: ribosomal RNA, 1847 nt
Filed under: Homotominae sp. JRC-2012
Lineage: Eukaryota; Metazoa; Arthropoda; Insecta; Hemiptera; Carsidaridae
Description: SSU rRNA
Rfam family: Eukaryotic small subunit ribosomal RNA
Source: RNAcentral